CUUUUUUCCUUGCAUUAUUCUCAAUUUAACCAUCCAAACGAAUAUUUUAUUAUUUAACUCACUGAACGAUCGAUGACUAUAUGCAUGAAUCAAUUAUAAUCUUACACUUAUAUCAUAUUUGUAGUACUUUAAUUUCAACCAUCCAAAAUUUAAAUAAAUAAGAAAAGUCUAUAGGUUGUAGUGCGACACACAACGAAAUUAUCUGCAAUUCUAUUCAUAUCGUAUUUUCAAAUAAUUUAUAGUGAACAAAAAGUUAUGAGUCUGAAUCACAUCAAAAUAACAAAAUUGAAAUACGUACAAAAUGAGAAUGAAGAGCAGAUUACUGGACGGUGCAGC
RNAcentral lists this long non-coding RNA (336 nucleotides) under Ananas comosus (pineapple). RNAcentral's name for it is "long non-coding RNA (ACOM_LNC024768)". The record is from RNAcentral. Lineage: Eukaryota; Viridiplantae; Streptophyta; Magnoliopsida; Poales; Bromeliaceae.